CUACGUGCCAGCAGCCGCGGUAAUACGUAGGUGGCAAGCGUUGUCCGGAUUUAUUGGGCGUAAAGCGAGCGCAGGCGGUCAAUUAAGUCUGAUGUGAAAGCCCCCGGCUCAACCGGGGAGGGUCAUUGGAAACUGGUUGACUUGAGUGCAGAAGAGGAGAGUGGAAUUCCAUGUGUAGCGGUGAAAUGCGUAGAUAUAUGGAGGAACACCAGUGGCGAAGGCGACUCUCUGGUCUGUAACUGACGCUGAGGCUCGAAAGCGUGGGUAGCAAACAGGAUUAGAUACCCUGGUAGUCCACGCCGUAAACGAUGAGUGCUAAGUGUUAGACCCUUUCCGGGGUUUAGUGCCGUAGCUAACGCAUUAAGCACUCCGCCUGGGGAGUACGACCGCAAGGUUGAAACUCAAAGGAAUUGACGGGGGCCCGCACAAGCGGUGGAGCAUGUGGUUUAAUUCGAAGCAACGCGAAGAACCUUACCAGGUCUUGACA
Molecule: ribosomal RNA, 487 nt
Filed under: uncultured bacterium
Lineage: Bacteria
Description: bacterial SSU rRNA
Rfam family: Bacterial small subunit ribosomal RNA
Source: RNAcentral